GGCAGCACGGUGCGUAGCAAUACGCAUGGGUGGCGAGUGGCGGACGGGUGAGGAAUGCAUCGGAAUCUGCCCAGUAGCGGGGGAUAACCUGGGGAAACUCAGGCUAAUACCGCAUACGACCUACGGGUGAAAGCGGGGGACCUUCGGGCCUCGCACUAUUGGAUGAGCCGAUGCCGGAUUAGCUAGUUGGUAGGGUAACGGCCUACCAAGGCGACGAUCCGUAGCUGGUCUGAGAGGACGAUCAGCCACACUGGGACUGAGACACGGCCCAGACUCCUACGGGAGGCAGCAGUGGGGAAUAUUGGACAAUGGGGGAAACCCUGAUCCAGCAAUGCCGCGUGUGUGAAGAAGGCCUGCGGGUUGUAAAGCACUUUCGGUGGGGACCAAAAAGCGCGACCUAACACGUCGCGUCUUGAGUUAACCCAUAGAAGAAGCACCGGCUAACUCUGUGCCAGCAGCCGCGGUAAUACAGAGGGUGCGAGCGUUAAUCGGAAUUACUGGGCGUAAAGCGCACGCAGGCGGCAACGCCAGUCGGAUGUGAAAUCCCCGGGCUUAACCUGGGAAUCGCAUUCGAUACUACGUUGCUUGAGUGUGGAAGAGGGAAGUGGAAUUCCAGGUGUAGCGGUGAAAUGCGUAGAUAUCUGGAGGAACAUCAGUGGCGAAGGCGACUUCCUGGUCCAACACUGACGCUCAGGUGCGAAAGCGUGGGGAGCAAACAGGAUUAGAUACCCUGGUAGUCCACGCCGUAAACGAUGAGAACUAGACGUCGGAGGGGUUUGCUCUUCGGUGUCGCAGCUAACGCGUUAAGUUCUCCGCCUGGGGAGUACGGCCGCAAGGUUGAAACUCACAGGAAUUGACGGGG
RNAcentral lists this ribosomal RNA (862 nucleotides) under uncultured Gammaproteobacteria bacterium. RNAcentral's name for it is "bacterial SSU rRNA". It matches the Rfam family "Bacterial small subunit ribosomal RNA", at positions 65 to 918 of the family's 1533-position model. The record is from RNAcentral. Lineage: Bacteria; Pseudomonadati; Pseudomonadota; Gammaproteobacteria.